AAGACUGCAGGUUUGGGGCCUUUGUUCCCAGGGAGAUGAGGCGAGAGGUGGACUGGGGACAAAACCCCAUCCAUUUAAAAAUGCCUGCAGCGGGGCGCUGAAGCAGAUCCGGCGUUCCGACCCUGGAACAAAGCGGACACCUACGCAAAAACGUGUGUGGUUCCAGCCUAAAUGGAGUUCCGGGACUCCAUUACCCUGGAAGGCAGAGGCCAACACAUCAACAGCACAUGAAGAUUCACGAGCCCUUAAAGAAACGUCUUCGACAUUGCAGAAUGUUCAAGGGGAGACGGACGCUUUCUCUUUCCUCCCCUCCGAUAAAAUAGGACCCCGGAGAAGCCCCCUCAUCACCCUGAGUCCUGACUAAAUAAAUCCCUUUUGGUCAGUACUUGGCCACUUAAGGGAUGAUUUUCUUCCUGGCGCCAAAGCAAGAUGGAUUUCAAACAAAAUGAUGCAAGCUGAGGCUCCCCACUUCUCCCCACCCCUCCCCCCCAUCUCGGCCCCAAAUCUACAAAUUCCCCAUCAACCUCUGCUUACUGCAGACUUUCUCCCAGGCACAUCCCAAGAAAAGCGUCCAUGGUGAGACCAGUGUUUGCCGACAGCCUCAGGGAGCUGCACACAUGGCGC
RNAcentral lists this long non-coding RNA (624 nucleotides) under Equus asinus (donkey). RNAcentral's name for it is "lncRNA (ENSEASG00005025582.1)". Lineage: Eukaryota; Metazoa; Chordata; Mammalia; Perissodactyla; Equidae. The record is from RNAcentral.